Molecule: ribosomal RNA, 479 nt
Filed under: uncultured bacterium
Lineage: Bacteria
Description: bacterial SSU rRNA
Rfam family: Bacterial small subunit ribosomal RNA
Source: RNAcentral
UGAACGCUAGCGGCAGGCCUAACACAUGCAAGUCGAGGGGUAACGAUGGUGCUUGCACCAGGCGACGACCGGCGCACGGGUGAGUAACGCGUAUGCAACCUGCCCUUAACUGGGGAAUAGCCCGGAGAAAUCCGGAUUAAUGUCCCAUAAUAUGUUUAUGUCACAUGGCAUUGACAUCAAAGCUCCGGCGGUUAAGGAUGGGCAUGCGUGCCAUUAGGUAGUUGGUGGGGUAACGGCCCACCAAGCCGGCGAUGGCUAGGGGGCCUGAGAGGGUGAUCCCCCACACUGGUACUGAGACACGGACCAGACUCCUACGGGAGGCAGCAGUGAGGAAUAUUGCGCAAUGGAGGCAACUCUGACGCAGCCAUGCCGCGUGCAGGAAGACGGCCCUACGGGUUGUAAACUGCUUUUGUACGGGAAUAAUCCCCGGUACGUGUACCGGGCUGAAUGUACCGUAAGAAUAAGCAUCGGCUAACUCC